This 976-nucleotide long non-coding RNA is filed under the name Ananas comosus (pineapple). RNAcentral's name for it is "long non-coding RNA (ACOM_LNC035368)". Lineage: Eukaryota; Viridiplantae; Streptophyta; Magnoliopsida; Poales; Bromeliaceae. The record is from RNAcentral.
CUACAUACUUUUGGUAGGGUGUUGAGUUGUUCCAUCCCAGUUGACUUGAUUAGUCAGUACUUGCAUACAGUUGAGAGGAUGUAGAGUCGUUCCAUCCUAGUUGAUCUGAGUGGUCAGUCUUUGUGGUUCAUUGAGCAGUAUUUACAUAUGUUUGAGAGGAUGUUGAUGUUGUCCCAUCCUAGUUGACCUGAGUGGUCAGUUCUUACGCUUCCUUACAGUUGAUGACCUAUACGGGUUUCUUACCCUUACUCUUCUGUUGCUAUUAUUGCAGAGUAUAUAUUGAACCUUGCACCUGCAUUUAUAUCUGCACUCCUCUACUCAGUUAUUUUCAUGUCGAUAUCAUGCUUAGAAGUAGAAUUGACUUAUCUGUUCACUAUAUCUGUGAUUUGGUUGGGCGGUUCCCCUAUUUUGAUAUCUAUGACCUAUUCGGUCGAGUUGCUACAGUUCUAUCUUGACUUACGUAGCCGACUAGUUGCUGAUGACCUAUACGGUCGAUGUGCCCUGAGGGGCUGGAUUGUCGGCUAGUUGCCGAUGGAAGAUCUUUGAGCAUACUACAUUGAUCGCCACUACAGGUACGCAUUUCACGAACACCAGCGGUCUGAUCCACCGCAAGAGGGUGUUCUUUUCCGGAAAAGUGGUUGGAAUGCCAACCCGUGAGCCCAGGGGCUUUAUUGCGAGGGUAUAUGCUUCUGACCCAGGGGCUUCAUUGCGAGGGUCAGGUACUAUGCUUCUGACCCAGGGGCUUCAUUGCGAGGGUCAGGUACAGGUUGAGCAGUGUGGCAUGGGCCUGAGGUCUUCGGACCAAUAGGGCAGCGAGAUUGGGUACUUUUGAGGUUAUCGUCAGUUGACGCAUGCAUACAGUAGCUGUAGUGUUUAUUUCCAGUACAUCCUUAUCUGUUUAUUGUAGCUACUGUUUUAUUUACCUGCAUCUAUACUUGUCAGCUCCUUACUUAUCAGCAUCUUUACUUACCAGCAC